RNAcentral lists this unclassified non-coding RNA (376 nucleotides) under uncultured Actinomycetes bacterium. RNAcentral describes it as "uncultured actinobacterium contains 16S-23S intergenic spacer region". Lineage: Bacteria; Bacillati; Actinomycetota; Actinomycetes. The record is from RNAcentral.
UCCGAGUUGACCCCGGCAGUCUCCCACGAGUCCCCGCCAUUACGCGCUGGCAACAUAGGAUAAGGGUUGCGCUCGUUGCGGGACUUAACCCAACAUCUCACGACACGAGCUGACGACAGCCAUGCAGCACCUGUGCUAGCCCCUUGCGGACACGUGCUUUCACACGCUUUAACUAGCAUGUCAAGCCUAGGUAAGGUUCUUCGCGUUGCAUCGAAUUAAGCCACAUGCUCCGCCGCUUGUGCGGGCCCCCGUCAACUCUUUUGAGUUUUAGCCUUGCGGCCGUACUCCCCAGGCGGAACACUUAUCGCGUUGGCUACGGCACCGAGGGAUUCGACUCCCCCAACACCUAGUGUUCAUCGUUUACGGCGUGGACUAC